RNAcentral lists this transfer RNA (72 nucleotides) under Phrynobatrachus keniensis (Kenya river frog). Its description in RNAcentral is "tRNA-Leu". It matches the Rfam family "tRNA". Rfam says of the family: Transfer RNA (tRNA) molecules are approximately 80 nucleotides in length. Their secondary structure includes four short double-helical elements and three loops (D, anti-codon, and T loops). Further hydrogen bonds mediate the characteristic L-shaped molecular structure. tRNAs have two regions of fundamental functional importance: the anti-codon, which is responsible for specific mRNA codon recognition, and the 3' end, to which the tRNAs corresponding amino acid is attached (by aminoacyl-tRNA synthetases). tRNAs cope with the degeneracy of the genetic code in two manners: having more than one tRNA (with a specific anti-codon) for a particular amino acid; and 'wobble' base-pairing, i.e. permitting non-standard base-pairing at the 3rd anti-codon position. Lineage: Eukaryota; Metazoa; Chordata; Amphibia; Anura; Phrynobatrachidae. The record is from RNAcentral.
GUUAGUACAGCAAAACGGACAUGCAAAAGACCUAAGCCCUUUUAUUUUGAGGUUCAAAUCCUCAUACUAACU